Rattus rattus (black rat) is the source of this 710-nucleotide RNA transcript. It is a transcript of the gene named 40S ribosomal protein S5-like, with no coding region annotated. The record is from RefSeq and is a predicted model, not a curated record. The transcript has a single exon. NCBI's taxonomy places the organism in Eukaryota, Metazoa, Chordata, Mammalia, Rodentia, Muridae.
GGUCAGCGCCGAACGACUGAGAAGCCCGGUUUGCGCCCUCAGAAUGACUGUAUGGGAAACAGCCACACCCGCGGUGGCAGAGACCCAGGACAUCAAGCUCUUUGGGAAAUGGAGCACUGAUGAUGUGCAGAUCAACGAUAUUUCUCUACAGGAUUACAUUGCUGUGAAGGAGAAGUAUGCCAAGUACCUGCCCCACAGUGCAGGACCGUAUGCUGCCAAGCGUUUCCGCAAAGCACAAUGUCCCAUCGUGGAGCGCCUUACAACUCCAUGAUGAUGCACGGUCGUAACAACGGCAAGAAGCUCAUGACUCUACGAAUUGUCAAGCAUGCCUUUGAGAUCAUCCACCUGCUCACUGGUGAGAACCCUCUGCAGGUCCUGGUGAAUGCUAUCAUCAACAGUGGCCCCCGAGAAGACUCAACACGCAUUGUGGGGGCUGGAACAGUGAGAUGGCAGGCUGUGGAUGUAUCCCCACUGCGCUGAGUGAAUCAGGCCAUCUGGCUGCUGUGCACGGGGGCUCGUGAGGCUGCUUUCCGGAUCAUCAACACCAUCGCUGAGUGCCUUGCAGAUGAGCUCAUUAAUGCUGCCAAGGGCUCCUCCAACUCCUAUGCCAUCAAGAAGAAAGAUGAACUGGAGCGUGUGGCCAAGUCUAACCGCUGAUUUCCCAGCUGCUGCCUAAUAAAUUGUGUGCCCUUUGGGACAGUUAAAAAAAA